RNAcentral lists this ribosomal RNA (484 nucleotides) under uncultured bacterium. RNAcentral describes it as "partial 16S ribosomal RNA". It matches the Rfam family "Bacterial small subunit ribosomal RNA", at positions 30 to 507 of the family's 1533-position model. The record is from RNAcentral.
AUUGAACGCUGGCGGCAGGCCUAACACAUGCAAGUCGAGCGGAUGAAGGGAGCUUGCUCCUGGAUUCAGCGGCGGACGGGUGAGUAAUGCCUAGGAAUCUGCCUGGUAGUGGGGGAUAACGUCCGGAAACGGGCGCUAAUACCGCAUACGUCCUGAGGGAGAAAGUGGGGGAUCUUCGGACCUCACGCUCUCAGAUGAGCCUAGGUCGGAUUAGCUAGUUGGUGGGGUAAAGGCCUACCAAGGCGACGAUCCGUAACUGGUCUGAGAGGAUGAUCAGUCACACUGGAACUGAGACACGGUCCAGACUCCUACGGGAGGCAGCAGUGGGGAAUAUUGGACAAUGGGCGAAAGCCUGAUCCAGCCAUGCCGCGUGUGUGAAGAAGGUCUUCGGGUUGUAAAGCACUUUAAGUUGGGAGGAAGGGCAGUAAGUUAAUACCUUGCUGUUUUGACGUUACCAACAGAAUAAGCACCGGCUAACUUCGUG